This is a long non-coding RNA of Passer domesticus (house sparrow), 10587 nucleotides long. RefSeq lists it as uncharacterized. NCBI's taxonomy places the organism in Eukaryota, Metazoa, Chordata, Aves, Passeriformes, Passeridae. The transcript has 7 exons. The record is from RefSeq and is a predicted model, not a curated record.
CCCUCUGCUCCCCAAAUCUGAGCCUGCCCUCAGCUCCCCCAAACCAGCCUGCCCUCUGCUCCCCAAAUCUGAGCCUGCCCUCAGCUCCCCCAAACCAGCCUGCCCUCAGCUCCCCCAAACCAGCCUGCCCUCAGCUCCCCAAAACCAGCCUGCCCUCAGCUCCUCCAAACCAGCCUGCCCUCAGCGUCCCAAAACCAGCCUGCCCUCAGCUGCCCAAAUCUUAGCCUGCCCUCAGCUCCCCAAAUCUGAGCCUGCCCUCAGCUGCCCACACCCUGCAGUGUCCCAGCCCUGCUCUGGGUGCAUGGCUCUGCAGAAGGUGUUGUCCCUCUGGCUGCCAGCAAGGCUCUGGGGAGAACCCUCCUCCUCCCUGCAUUCACACACGUUAUAAAGAGCUCUGGUGAGCUCGUGGUGGUGUUUGGCCUCUUCCCUCAGCCAUGUCAUAUAAUAGGCUCUUUAGAACCUGCUGCUCAGGAUCCAAAUUUAUAGCCUGUUUUUAGAAAGGAUAGGCUAUUACAGAACUGAUUAUGCAUUUGCAUAUUCAUCAGCCAUAUAGAGGAGGUAAAGAGCUGGGAAGGGACAGAAGAAAUGAAUGGUCAAUAGAGAAGGCUUCAAGGAGAACACAGAUUAAAAGGUCUAUUUAUUUUCUACAGCAGAAGCUAAAAAAAGGACUGUGCACAAUUCCCCACCCCCAUCCCUUUUCACAGCGAUUGCUCAUGGGCUGCUGCCUCCCCUUGUGUUUCUCUGCACUGUGCUCCUCACACACGUGGUUCAUGGGCUCUCACCAGGGCUCUUGCUCUGAUCCACACACAAAUGUGUACCCAGCCACCCAGGAAAUUCCCUCCCUUGCUUUCCCAGCUUUUGCACUACACACUUUUCUUCCCUCUUUGACCACAUGUGGCACAUGGUGACCCUGGGUUUGACAUGCUACAAUUAAAAACUCACAUUAAUGAUAAGCUCUUGGCCUAAUUCUGUGGUUUUCUAUUUGUCAAAACCCAGCAUGCAGUCCUGGGAUUGCUUUUCUGUCUUAACACUUCACUGCCUUGAGUCUGGAGGCCCAAUUACAUAAGUGCUUCUGACUUGUCUGACAUGAGGGAUAAUGAGAAUGCUACAUACUCAGUUUGAUCUAAUUUCCCUGUCCUCUUUUCAAUUCACACUUUAUUUGGCCCAUGUUUAGACAGAGGUGCUUUUGAGAAGAGGAAGGUUUAGUGAGGAGGAGAGAGGCAAAGGUUUUAAUUACUUGCAGGGAAUCAUGAGCACUUGUACUGUUUUAGACCUGUGGUCCAGGUGGGGAGGAGGUGUUAAUGUGUGCUCAGCUGCUCUGAUGUGUUCUCCUGCUUAGCCCAAGGAUGGAGCCAGCUCAGCUAACAAACCUCAGGGACAAAGAGAAGGAAGCAAGCAGGGAAUGACUUCACAUGCAGGAAAACUCAUUUUUUCUAAGAAUAAAUGUUUUGGGGAGUUUUAUUGUGGAAAUACCAGAAUUUUCUUUUUUUUAGGUUCCAAUAUUUCCCCUCUUCACCCAACUAUUCUCGGUAGUGGAGCUGGCAAAGCUGGGAAUGGACAUGGUUAAUUCUCUUUUAGAGAGCCUAAAAAGGAUGAAGGCAAUGAAGCAAAAUUGAAAGGCAGAGAACACAUACUCAAAACAAAAAAAUCUUGUUAAAAAUUCUUGCAAGCUAACAGGCAAGUCCUCAUCUCCGUGCUGAAAUGCAUCUCACCUGUGGAAAAUAGAGGUUAGAGCAAAUGUCGGUAAUAACAUUUGCUGAGGAAAUGUUUCCCUGAAAUCUUUGCACCAGGUAAGAACAUUCUUUUUUGAGAAUUAAGUCCAGCUUUAAAAUAGGAUUAUGUAUUUCCAGUUUGUGUGGUUAGAGGAAUUUAAUGGAGCAAAGGGAGCAGAAAUGGGGGAUGAUAUGUCAUUUUGAAGAAUAAGAUAAGAAAUGUCUGCUGUUGUAUUCUACUCCAACUUACUUUUUUACUGCAAGUGCUACCUCUGUACAGACAUAGCAAGAUAGAUUCAACUCUUUAUUAGUCUUUUUUAGCACUGGAGAAGGAGGAUGUUGCUGCACUCUAGGGAAAUGUGGAAGAUAACCCUGUGACUGUAGAUGAACAUCUAUUCUGGUAGAUCUGUAAAUGAUGCCUAGCAUUAAAUUUAUUUUUAAAUUUCCUGCCUCAUGAAUCUGCCAGAUGCCAAAGUCUCACAGGUCUGCUCUAACUGCAUGAAGGCACAGACAUCUCUGUCAGUGGGUUUCCUCCUGCAAUUUGGGACCACAAGAAGAAGCAGUUGCUGAAAUGUACUGCAGUGCUUUGAGUUUCCAGGAGCCAAAAGAGGAAAAAGGUGUUUUUCAAAUAGCUGGAGAUGAUGGACAGGGCCAGGCUCUCUUUUAUCAGGGGAGGUAUUCUAAAGCUGUCUUGGCCUUGAGUGCAGUUCCCAGAGCUGCUGAUAACAAACGUGUUGUAGCUGAGAGGGGCUGCAGCCCUGGGGAAGUCUCUGCUGCUUUGGCACCAUGCUGGGCCCUUUCCCACUGUGAGCCAGGGAAAUGCACUCACUGGGGCCAGGGUUGCAAACCAUGGAGAAUUCCUGGUCCUGGGGCUACACUGAAGCUGAAUAAUGCCAAAAAGGAGGAGCUGCAUUGUUUGCUUCCAUGUCUGGCUUCUGAGUGUGUCUGUUGAAUUUCCCUGCCUCCAAGGUCCUUCCCAGCAGUGCCAGUGUAGCAGCUGUUUUUUCAUUUGUUAACAGGGAGCACAAAUGCUUCUUUUGGGGACUGCAUUUCUUUCUCUGAAUUUCAAAGCUGGAAUGAAACUCUUAAACAGCAUGGUUAUUUUGUCUAAUGUGUUCUCCCCAAACUUCCAGGCUAAUCCAUUUGGGAAACAUGGAAGAUGUUCCCAAGAGACUUCUUAUUGCCUAGCUACUGAAGCACCUGCUAAAACUGAGCUCUUUUAAAAACUGAAAAUUAUUUAAAUGUGAAAAAGAGUGGGUUGAUCUGGAAAAAAACCUUAUCAAAAGACUAAAAUUAGAAUGGAAUGUGUUAGAAGAGAAAUGGGGAAACUGGUGGGGGAGGAGGACUAAGGUUUUUUUAAAAAUAAAAAUGCUACUGCUUGAGUAAUGAUCAAGGAGAUUCUGGUUAGGAUAUUAGCUGCUGCUCCAACCCAGAGCAGUUCCUGGAUUCAGAAAUAAUUAUGUUUUCCUAAAGAUAGAUCUACAGUACAGACUCCAGGGUUUUUUUUCUGAGUUAGUCUAAAGCAAGGAUCAGCUUAAUGUUUAUAAAUGAAACUUUUGAGUAAAUGCUGGUAGUGAACCAAAUAAAUAGAGGUUUGGGGUUUUUUAGAGCAACUAAUAACUGCAUAAAUAAUCUUUGCAGAUUAACUUCUGCUCUCCUAAAGUUGCCUGAGUAAGCUGCUUGCAGAAAGCUUGAAAGGUGAAGCUACCUUUCUUUUUUGCUUUUGGAAUUUUGCAUUUCUGUCUGCACUUUACCACUGCACGUUUGAUUUUGUCGUGAAUAAAAUUCUAAUUAGUUGUCCCAAGGCUACCAUUCCAUGAUGCAAGGGUUUUUUUCUCUUUUCUUGGCUCAGUUGCUGUUGUACCACCACUUUUUUUUAUUUCUGAACUCUUUGUGGUGUAAAGGAUUGGAAGAGUUUCAAGGAAUCCCAUUACCUGGCAGGAAGCAAAAAACUUCAUUGUCUGUAAAAUGGUAAGGAGGAAAGUUCUAAGCAAUGGCUAAUUGCAGGAAAAAUCACCCUCUGAGGAAAAGAGAAGGUCUCUACAAAGAAAUGCACCCAACUAAAAAGAGUAAAGUGAGGUGGUCUGGUUAUUGUCCUUUAAAAUCCUCUGGUUUUCCUCUGCUCCUUGAUUUCAAUAGUUUGAUGUAUUUUACACUGCUUGGAAGUCAUGAGUGCUUCCUUUAGAGAGACCUGACUGCAGUAGUUCGGCUUCUUCCCUAAACAUAAAAAAAAAAUCCUACAGAAGUUUUAUGCUGUAGGAUAUUUUAAAUCUGAGUAGGAAGGAAUUGCAUUUCCUGAUUUAAAGUGACUCAGCUCGGUCUGCCUCCUUCUUUCAUAAGAGAUUCUCUGCAUCCAGCUCAAACCUUGGCUGGCACUCGGGAGAGCUAUCAGAUGUUUUCUCCAAUGAUUUGUCAUUCCUGCACAAAGUCAGUUUUUAAGCUGUUCCUUGUGGAUCCUGGAGCAGCAGUGAUUAGCUCAGAAGGUGAAGCCUGUGUCACAAGGCAUGUGCUGCUGUUCCUUGCAGCUUCUGUCAGCUCCCGUUGGACAGUGACGUGCCUGGCCAACAGGAGCCCAGCAGUCAGUCAUCACUUUAUUAGUAUUUGUUUUAUAGUAUCUGCAGCCACUCACACACAUCAAACCUUAUUUCCAUAACCACAGUCCCACAAGAAAUGUUAUUUUUUUGUGCAGAACCUUCAUGGUGGUCACGUUCUGUACCAAGUAAAUUAAUUUCAAAGCACUUUCUUUUAAGCCUGAUACUUGUUUUGUAGGAUUCCUGACAUUUUGUGAUUUCCUUUAGAGCAGACAUUGUUCCCACCACCAGAAAAUUAUUUCCAGUGAGAAAUUGAAAGGGAAGUUCAUAUUUGUUGAAAAGAAAGUUGAUAUUUGUAUGCCAUGUAUGGAUGCAUAUGAUGAAGUCAUAAUGUGGAAGAAUCUAAUUAGAACUAUCCAGGCAACGGAAGACCUUGAGCUUGCUUGAUUAGAAUUAACUGCUGCAUACAUGAAAGGAGAAAUUUAAUUCAAAUUUCUAUUAAUCAGAAAUACUAUCCUGCCUAAAUGAUUAAAAAAAAGCCAUGUUAAUUUUCUGUUUGGAUGAUGAUGAUGUCCAUGUCAAGAGUGAUUUUUGUGUUGCUUUGGUCUUUGAAGUUAUAUAUCCUAAAGUAAUGUACAAACAGAAGUAUUUCAAGUUUUGUGACCCGAAUGCUUUCAAUUCAGAGCACAAAUAUAUAUUUAUGUGCAUAGAAGUAGGUACUCUGGCACAAAGCCUCCAAAAAUGUUGUUGUCAAGUUCCCCUUUGCCCUUUCUCACAGCAUCACACAGGUAAGGUUCUCUCUGCCAGUGAAUGCUGUGUGGUUCCAUUUCUCAGUUUUCUCUUUCCCCUCUGCCCCUGGGCAUUGCCUUGUCCAAGGAAGAGGAGCAGAGCAGCAGAGGGAAGAGCCCUGGCAGGAAUUGCCUGUGUUGUUCAGCACAUGCAGGUGAGGCCUGGCAGGAUGGGAUGCUGUGGGUCUGUAAAUGUUGCUCGGUAUCUGCACCUCAGCUCUGCAGGAAACUGCAGGGCUGUGGGAAGCUGCCUGGCAGAUCAUGAGCACUUCUCUGUCAUAUUUGGGGUUUCUUCUGGCUUUUUUUCUGCAACAACUGGAUCAUAAGAAAAUUAUGUUCUGUUGAAAUAGUCUUACAUUAGGGAAAGGCUGUUUGAUGUGCUGAAUGCCAGCUUUGUGUUGGUUUGUGUGUUACAAGCCAUCAAGGAGUGUGAUGAAAUAGUGAUUUGAUCUCAAAUGCUGCCAGCCACAGGGAUGCCAGCAUCCUGUCUCAGAUAGGUUUGGAGGCUCUCUGUCCAUCCUUGUAAGUCUUGAGAAGUCCAGGUGACACAACUCAGUGUGCUGUGGCAAUAUCACAGACCAGGGAUAUGUUUUAGGCAGAUUCCUCUGUGUACAAUUGGGUCAAAAACCUCUCAUGUGACCAGUUGUCACAGAAAAUGGAAAUAUACCACUCACAUGAGGAGUCCUGUACAAGCUGCUGUCCUGAUAUGCAGUGGGAGCCAGAAAAGAAGUCAUCAAAUGUUGAAUUUCAUGUUCUGUUGGACUGUGUGUUUAGCUGAGGGGUUGAACAUCACCCUCCUUGAUAUAAAAAUUAAUGGAUUCUCUUUGAAAAUGGAUCAGAGCAGGGUAUGUUCAACUGUGCAUCAAAGUGCAGAAAUAUAAACGUUAAACUAAAUUCCAAAAUCUCAAGCACAUCUAGCAACAAAGGGGAAAGCAUAUGUAAAGUGCACAAGCUUAGCUUCAUGCCUUAUUUUGAAAAUAAUUAAUAAUAAUCUGCAUGUUACUUGGAGUGCCAUCUCUGGGCAUCAGAUAUUUAUUUUAUGAAGGUUACAUUCCUAUCCUUUAAAGUUGAAAGGGACUUACUAAACACCUUACAGUGUUAGAAAUUAUGGUCCUGAGGUUUAGCUCUGUCUGUGCUUUUGAGGGAGGCUCAUUGAUUCUGUGAUUCCCAAAUGAGCUGGGAUGGAGUGUGAGCUGCACUGAGCAGCAGCCCAUCUGUACCUGCAGCUGCAGGUCUGCAAGGGACAGGCAAAGCCAGGCUUUCAUGAUGGCACACAGACCUUGAAUUCCUGUAUUUGGCAAGGCAAAACUGAGACUACUCUAAUUUGUUUCUCAUUUAGUCCUUGAUCUUCUGUCUUUAUUCACAUCACUGGAGAUAGGAUGGCUCUGACAGCUCUGGAGGGGGAGCAGGACAUUUCAGGUGGCUGCCGGCCAUAUCCAUGAUAAAUGGAGAGCCCUGGCCAUGUGCACAGAGCCAAGCCCAGACUCAGAGCGUGGGCUGAGUUCCAGCCUGCUUCACAUGAGAUCUGACCUUGUGCUGCUGCAGGCAGGCCCCUGUGUGUGGCAUCACAGCUCUUUGUGUUUCUCACGCUAUUUUUUAAUUUUUAUUUUUUUAAUGGGAAAGGUAAAAGAUUCCUGUGCUCUUCUUUUUGACUUGCAGGUAUGUUCCUUUCCACUGUUUCUGGGAUUAAGGUCCCUUCUCAACCCAGACUGUUGUGUGACUGCUCUAUGAUUUACAGUCACUGCACUCACUGUGUGAGUUAUAAGGAACAUGCAGAGAUGAUCCUGUGAUCCUGCAGUGCAGUCACUGGCUGGGCCAGGCACCAGCCAUUGACAAAGGGGAGAUAAUGUCCCUUUGAAUGUCCCCAGUUAGGAGGAUUCUGGUUUUCAGCUGUUCAUUCAUUAGCAGAGAAGUAAACAGUGCAGCAGAAGGUUGUGAAGCAGGGUGUUUAUUCACUUGUUUUCUGGCCUUCUCUCUGGAUUAAUGAAAUGACUCAUGGACAGUAACAACAUGCUUGGAGGGAAAAAAAGAAAAAGAGAAUAGAAAUAUCUGGAGGUGGGACGUAUAAGGCCAAAUCCUUCUGUCAGGACACCCACAACUCACCUUACAUAUGUGAGCUGAUUCUCUUUGUUAAAUGUAAAGAAUGAAUCACAGCCAGAACUUCAGGGCAAAAGAAUGAAAUGAGCAUCUAAAAUGUGCAGAGUGGUUUAGAUCUGUGUGGAAGAACAGGCUGGUGGAAUGUGAAGCUUUGUAAAUGUUUCUGUGCAACUUGGCCUUUUCUCACACCCUGUUCCCCUCUGCCCAAGAGCAGGGACAGUGUGUGUGAUCUCACACAGGUGAGCAACACAACACAGCACAACUGACCCAUGGUGAUGCUCAAACCUGUACCAGUCUCACAACACGGAGAAAGGAGAAUAGUGAGACUGCUCUGAUUUCAGGAUACUCAAGAACUCACUGUCCUUGGAGAAUCUUGGAAAGGUUACAUGGAUUUUGGGCAGAGAAGGAAACCAAACACAGAACCAGGUUCAACAAACUGAAAGCAGGACAAGAGUGGAAUAAUAACUGUGGAAUCCUGAGAAGAAUUAAUUUAUAGCAGAUACUACCAGGCAAUUCUAAUGUUGGAAAAAAUAAACUGAGAUGCACCUAUGUGAUAUUUUCAAAUACAGAAAAUGCUGCUCAGCAUUCGUAUUAGAAUUUAUUAUCAAUUCAGAAUCCUUGUCAUCUAAGGGAAAUGAUUUGUGAAAUGCUGUCCUAAAGAUCUCUUUGGUUCUGGCUUUUUCCUCCAUGGGAGUACUGAUCACAUGGAAACCUAAAACCCUCAGCCAGCUCCUACUCUGAAAAAUGCUUAAUUAAUGAAUUCUCAAAAAUUGGUUUAUAGCCAAGAUGUUCUGCUAUUUACUGUUUAUUUCAAACUGUUUGUUGGUAGUUUCUAUGUUGUUUUAUUUUGAGACGAGCCAGUAUAUUUAGGGUGGAGAUUUAAGCCACACAAGGUGAAAAACGAGGAUGAGGCUGGAGAAGGAAGAGGAACUUGUCAAAGCCUGUAGAGAAGAAGUGAGGAUAAUUAAUCAGACAAAUGGAGAUAGAGAGCAGGUGUGCAGAGGGAAUAGUCUGAUGGAACAAAAAAUGAAUGUCAGAAGAGAACCAGGUUUAAGGAAAAAAAAAGAGGGAAGAGACACAGUGGGAACACAACUGUGAUAUUUGCAGCAGUUUGCCUUCCCUCAGAAGUUCACUGAGAGUUCUGCAUGGAGAUGACAAAAGGGACAUGCCAGUCUGCAGAGUUGCUACAAUUGACUCAUUGUUCUGCUGUGUCAGAUUCCCUUUGCUCUAAGGAAGACAGCACCAAAAAUAGGGGAAGUACUGGAAUAUUUUAUGCUGACUUACAUUUUGCAUGAAAGAAGAAUUCUGGAAUGGAAGACCAGAACUAUAGUAAUUGAGAUGUUGCCAGGUUUACCAGAAAGUUCUGCUUGCUGCAUCUUCCAUGGUGAGGUGGAAUAUGUGCUGGUUGCUGUUGGUCAUGAGCUGCUGCUUCAGGCACUCCGUAGGGAAUAAAUGAUGGAGUGACAGCAGCAUGCUGGGAAUGCUGCUGCUGGAUGGAGUUCUGCUUCCUUUCCUGCCACUCUGAGAAAUGUUGAGAGCUGUGAGCAAUUUGUUUAUAAGGAAGUCUUUCUGAAUUAAAAAUUUGGAAAGAGUCCUAUGAUAAUGGACUUUAACAUCCUCCCCAGUCCUGAGCACUAAUCAGAAAUCAUCCCAAUUAAAGGUGUGUGAAGCUGUGGGGCACAAACACUGUGAUGCCUUGGAGAGAAAAUCUGCCAUUUGCUGCCUUUAGAUUCCUAAGUUGCUGGUUUAAUUCCUCAUAAAUAAGAAAUCCAUGAGAUGGCCCUGUGCAAUAGGACAAAAAAAGGAAUUUGGAUUUGUGCACCAAAACCUCAGAAUUCCUGCUUAAAAGUUUUAGAUGACUUCACCAAAGGAAGAAUAGGUCAGUUCUUGGGACACCAGAAUCCCUUUUGAGACAUAAAGUAGAAACACUUGGUGCUUCAAACACUUGGUGACCUGUGAGGUCAUCACAAAUGAUGAUAGAGUGGAUUUGCUUUGCAUCUCUUUGUUUCUCCCUGCAAGUGAGGAACUCAUAAUUUAAUGGGAAAGUUGUUCAGUGGCUUAGUUCAUCUCAACAACAGGGGAGGAAUAUGAACUUAAAAGAAACAAAAAUAAAAACUCAGAACCUCAAGUGUAGAAAAGGAGGGAAUGUAAUGAAAUAAAUUGCCUGGUCUGUUACAGGGAGUUGAAAUUCAUCUCUGAUUUUUUUAUUAUUUUUCUUUUCUUUUGGCAAGGGUCCUGGGCCAUCUUACUGAAACAGAGGCUUGAAGUAACGAUGGAAGUUACCAGCAACUAUAGCCCUGAGAAGGGGGAGAAAGGCAGCGUGAAUAUUGAAGCUGGCAGGAGUGAGCUCUGUUAGGAGAGAGAAGAGAGCAGAAGCAGUUGUUCUGCAGCAGUGGCUGUUUGCUUUGGUCCCUCCUUUGCACGUGCUCAGCACAUUGACUGUUUUUCUUCCUGGAGCCAUGUGGGUCACAUGGCCAUCUACUGACCCUCCCUUCACCAGCAGCAGUGCAGGAAAGAGUCAGGAAUGACCAUGCAAUAAUGUGUGUUGUGUUUCACAUCCCGGUAAUCUGCCACCAGUGCGAGUGCCCCUGCCAACGCUGUAGUUUGUGUGUCCAUGACCACACAUAUGGCCUUUAAAUAAAGUGCUUUCUGUAUGCUCUUAGGUCCUGGCAGUUCCUAUUCUGUCCAGCUGUUUUGGUGUCCUUCUCAGAGUUUAUCUAACCUCAGAAGGGUCUCACUUGCUUUCCCCAAGUUCACUUUCAUUCUAGGUUUACUUUAAGGGAAGAGUCAACUCAGAAAUGGUUGUAGUUUGGGAAAAAAAUAUGUUGUAUUUUUUAUUAAGCAAGAAAAAUAUCAGGUUUUUUACCAAGUACUGGUCAGCUUGACAGCAAGAAGAAUCCUUGAAGGGCUGAGACUGUGGAAUAAAGAGCCUGGAAGAAUUAACCAAUUCUUGUUGCUGCAGAGGUUUUCUGUUCCCAAAGUACUCGGAAGAGAUGGGAAGGUAUUUAUGAUUGACAUAUACAGGAGUUAAAAAACCAAAACCAGUUUCUCAAACACUGGAGCAGCCUAUCUCCAACAGAUGCAACUCAAUGACUUUGUCAUGCUUUGUCCCUUCAAAAAGCUAUUUCUGCAUGCUGUGGGAGUGCCUCAGGAAGGGAAGGAACGGAGCUAUUGUAAAUACAAAUGCCUAAAUGUGAAUAUGAAUUAAGGUAGGAUAGAAUGAGUUGUUUUUUCUAAAAUGAAUAAUGUACAAGCACACUCAGUUCUUGGCCACUUGCUGUUUGCUUUCCACACAGGAAAACAAAACCCAACAUCCCAAAACCAAACCAAAACCCAAACAGAAACCUGGCCCUGCUCGGUGGGGAAACAGUAGUUGCACGUGUUAAAAAAAUAAAUAAUGAAGGUUUCCACAGCAACCCAAGUUCUGUAGUGCAAGUUGAUGACUUUCAUUCUGUUUUA